UACGUAGGGUGCGAGCGUUAAUCGGAAUUACUGGGCGUAAAGGGCGCGCAGGCGGUUCUGUUUGUCGAGUGUGAAAGCCCCGGGCUCAACCUGGGAACUGCGCUCGAAACGGCGGAACUAGAGUUCGGGAGAGGAGAGUGGAAUUCCCAGUGUAGAGGUGAAAUUCGUAGAUAUUGGGAAGAACACCGGUGGCGAAGGCGGCUCUCUGGACCGAUACUGACGCUGAGGCGCGAAAGCGUGGGGAGCGAACAGG
This 253-nucleotide ribosomal RNA is filed under the name uncultured bacterium. RNAcentral's name for it is "partial 16S ribosomal RNA". It matches the Rfam family "Bacterial small subunit ribosomal RNA", at positions 524 to 776 of the family's 1533-position model. The record is from RNAcentral.